GACGAACGCUGGCGGCGUGCUUAACACAUGCAAGUCGAACGAUGAAGCCGGAGCUUGCUCUGGUGAAUUAGUGGCGAACGGGUGAGUAACACGUGAGUAACCUGCCCUUGACUCUGGGAUAACUGCGGGAAACUGUAGCUAAUACCGGAUACGACCCUCGGAGGCAUCUCCUGGGGUGGAAAGAAUUUCGGUCAAGGAUGGACUCGCGGCCUAUCAGCUAGUUGGUGAGGUAAAGGCUCACCAAGGCGACCACGGGUAGCCGGCCUGAGAGGGUGACCGGCCACACUGGGACUGAGACACGGCCCAGACUCCUACGGGAGGCAGCAGUGGGGAAUAUUGCACAAUGGGCGCAAGCCUGAUGCAGCAACGCCGCGUGAGGGAUGACGGCCUUCGGGUUGUAAACCUCUUUUAGCAGGGAAGAAGCGAAAGUGACGGUACCUGCAGAAAAAGCACCGGCUAACUACGUGCCAGCAGCCGCAGUAA
This 483-nucleotide ribosomal RNA is filed under the name uncultured bacterium. RNAcentral's name for it is "partial 16S ribosomal RNA". It matches the Rfam family "Bacterial small subunit ribosomal RNA", at positions 28 to 523 of the family's 1533-position model. The record is from RNAcentral.